UCUAUACUAUUCGAGCCCAUGGAUCUAUGACAUGUACAUAAUCUAAAAAAUAAAAGAGAAAAUAUUGAUAUCGAAUAUUAAUACUUUUGCAUAGAUCAAUCUACACCGCAGUCAAUGAUCAUGGAUUUGAAUGGGUUCCUUUAGCUGCACAUGUGCUCGAUCUCUAUAGGUAUCUACAUGAGAACUUAUUCUGACUAGAGGUAGGUGUCUUCACCGGGGUGCUAGCUCUCUUGCAGAAGACUCCUCUUUGAUUGCUGAGGUUGUUCUCUUAUAGAUCUCACAGACUCUCUUGAAAACUAGGGAGAAUGGGGAG
RNAcentral lists this long non-coding RNA (313 nucleotides) under Elaeis guineensis (African oil palm). RNAcentral describes it as "long non-coding RNA (EGUI_LNC044798)". The record is from RNAcentral. Lineage: Eukaryota; Viridiplantae; Streptophyta; Magnoliopsida; Arecales; Arecaceae.